UGGCCCAAUGGCUCAGUUGGUUAGAGCGCCGCCCUGUCACGGCGGAGGUCGCGGGUUCGAGUCCCGCUUGGGUCGU
This 76-nucleotide transfer RNA is filed under the name Roseburia hominis. RNAcentral's name for it is "tRNA-Asp(gtc)". It matches the Rfam family "tRNA". From Rfam's summary of the family: Transfer RNA (tRNA) molecules are approximately 80 nucleotides in length. The record is from RNAcentral. Lineage: Bacteria; Bacillati; Bacillota; Clostridia; Lachnospirales; Lachnospiraceae. RNAcentral also lists the same sequence under 2 other names.